CCAGCGCGGCCCCCAGCCCCUCGGGACAGGCCUGGCCCUAGCUGGAGGCGGGCUGCGGGGAAGCGCUGCAGUGGCCUGCGGAACUGGAGGGUAGGUUGCAGCGCUCCAGCUACAACGUCGGACUCGGUGAGCUUUUCUAUAGCGGACUGUGGCCGUAAGGAAGUAAAUAAAAAUACACGUACCAGAAAAAAUCUGUUUCAAUGGCAGCAUUGCUUCCACUCUGUUGAACAGGCCUAAUGUGUUCAGGGCUGCCAGGAGUCCGCAGGGACACCUGUGCACGUGGAGCUGCUGCACAUGCAGCCUCUAACCAUGAAGAGUCAUCAAUUGUUUAACGCACACAAGCUGUAGUUUCUAAAUGUGCAUACAGUUACUGCUCACACAAAGCUGAAGAGGCAAGCGUGCAGCACAAAUGAUAAUACCAAGUUUGAAGUAUCAAGUAUGAUGUUUUAUCCUCUUCCAUGCAAAUACCUGAAGUGAUUCCAUGGAUUUCAAAAUCAUUCUUUGCUUUUCGACUGCUGUGUGAAGAGUGAGCAAGCAGGAAUGCACAGCACUGCACUUGGGUGCCCCAGUGCCCAACAGUCUUCCUCCUCGGCAAACUGCUCUAAUGGUGCCCGGUGGAAAAGCCCUGCGUUCUGCAAGCAUGUCUUCACAGGACUCACACGUAGGCCUGACGAGACACGGCGAAGUUCCUUGACGCAGUCACAGGUAUCGGCAUGUUCCUGGCGAAUCCCAAGCGAGGAGAUCCGGUUUCCAAGCAGUCCUGCUGCGAGACUUUCUACACAAUCACACCGUCACAUGCUGACAGUCGUCCAAGAGCUCUCUGCAUGCCAACCAGCAAAGCAGCCUGGCACAGUUUGAAAUACGGCAGCGUUCCGUCAUCCACAAAAUGUCUUCAGAUUACAGAGAUAGUCUUUCAAUUUGGAGGAAUCGAAUGGAUAUGUAAGAGACUGAUUUGUAGUUAUAUGCUUCAGCCUCUGCUUCCAGAGAAACCAACUCACCAACCAAAACUAACACAAGCCACCUCACUGAGAAAUACUGGAAGAGUGAGUAUUACCUCAACAAAGCUAAAAACUUGCAAGGAGAGGAAACUUCCCAGUCCUGAAUGACAUUCACAGUGAGCUGACACGGCUUUCCAGAGCUCCAGACACAAAGAUGAUCCUGCGUUACAAGAAGAGUGUUGUGGGCACUCAGGCUGGUGGAGAUCCAAACCAGAAGGGAACCACACUUAGCAUAACAAACACUGCUAAACAAGGCAAUGGAUAACUGCAGAAAAACAGUACUAAAUUGCGUCAUUUCACAAACAUCACAGGGUAGGCAUAACAUGGACCAAAGGAAUGAUGACAGCAGCACUAGAUCAAAGAAAUUAUUCACAGAAGCUUAAAAAGAAAAAAAAAGGAUUAAAUCAAGUGACGCACAUAAUAGAAAUGAAUGCUGGUACACAAGUACACAAGCAGGCAUUGUGCCAAAAACAGCAGUGUCACUAAUAAAGAAAAACAAGUGUGGCUGAGUGAUAACAAAAGUGAGUUAGGAGAACGUGUGUGCCAUGGAUGCCGCUGCCUAACUUGGAAAAGGAAACUGCCUGCCAAUGCUCUUCAGAGUAAUUACGUUUUUUGUUAAAAAUAUGUGAAGCUCUCAUUCUCUUCAGCAGUGCCUUUACACCCGAGGAUGACACUGCCAACAGCCCACUGUUGCUGUGAGCAAGACUAACUGCAGAAAACAGCAUCUGCUCUCAGUCGUGUGCAAAGGUCCUGUAACAAAGAGCUCAGUGGCACCCUCAGUGCCUUGACAUUCACACUUAUCAAUGAUGCAGUGCUUCUUGUCCUUCCUAGAAGCAACAGCAUCACUUUGAACGUUCAGUGGAUCUCUGUGGGACUUUUAAACAUCUGUAGUCUGGACUGAAUGGCCACUCUUACUUGUAUGCUCCAAAAUCAAAGCAAACAGCUCACGUGCAGUCCUGGUAUCACCUCUAGUAAGGGGAGAGGAAAAAUCUCUGCAGAAAAAUUGGAUGUGGCACUUUUUACAGGUUUCAUCAUACCCAAACAUCACCCUAAUUUCUCACAAAGCAAAAGAGACUUGACCUAACGUUGUUUCCCUUCCCCCACCAAAAGCCAGUUUUGAGUUUCAGAUCUUACUGAGCUUCAAGGAAUUUUAAUUCCCUGAAAGGUAGUGACAUUCAGAGCUGCAUACAUGCCAGGGUUCGUGGCUGUUCCUUGUACAUUUCAAGUUCAGUUACGUUCCAUGUAGUCCUUCAAAAUGAGAGGGAAUCUGUUUCAGCCAACAACUAUGAGCUUAGCAGCUAUCACCACACUGUGGGGAAAUACUGGUUGCAGAAAAUGCAACACAGUGGGCUCAGUAGUGGGGGAGGAAACCUGCAAGAUUUCAUACCACUAGGAAAGUCAGAUACCUCAUGAGCCUGAUACCAGCCUAUAAUCUGCACCAUACCAUAAUCAGCUUCACAUUUUAUCCAAAUAAACUAAUAUUAGAGAGCACAGAUACAUGCAAAUCAAGUUACUGACACAAGUAUUAGACAGGAUUUUAAAGGAUGGAAAAUAAAAUGAAAAUAUGGGGACAAAUAAGGCCGUAAGUUAUCCUUUUUAUCCCUUUAUACAAGAGUUCUAGUUUUUUACAUUCUGUUACAUGACCAAAAUUCUGAAUAUACUUUUAUAAAUGUACUUAGGAAAAUUCAUUCUUUUUCUACAACACAGUGUUAUAACUAACAGACCUCAGGACAGUUUGAUAUAGGCGAGCAGUUUGGGGCAGAAACUGCAUAAAUGUAUGGUGGGAUUGGAAGAUAAAAAACAGUUGUCAGGCAGUGCAGUACCAUAUCUGCCCUUAAAAUACGGGCAUUCCUUUUCCUCUCCUUGCGCUCUACAUGGACCUCCUCAAACGUAACCAGAAUGUAUCAUUAUUGCAGCAUCAGUCACUUUGCACUACUUUUUCAGUUAAGGCAAGCUAAACAAAGUAUUCUGUUAUAACACAAACAACUCUGAUGAUUAGUUUCUAAAAUUUACUUGCAACAUAAAGCACUUCAAAUGAGCAGCAGUGCAGGAAGCUGCCUGACAGCACUUGCUUCAUACUCAAAGCCCCCUGUGCACACCCUGCUCACUUACUCACCCCGCUCACUCUCCACCACAGACUCAACCCAGACAGAGCCUUGCUAACCGCAGUGCAUGGACAUAUAACCACUAUCAAACUAUACUCACUGGUAUCAAAAUAGCCCUCUGGGAUCAGAUCUCUUUUGCAACCCUCACUCGCUGAAGUGAGCAGUGCAGAACGGGCACCCAAACAACAUCUCUACUGGCAAGUUCAGCUAUCAGGAGGAGGAGAACAGCACCAAUACCGAACUCCAGAUAGGGACACGGAUCACUUAGGUUGGAAAAGACCUUUAACAUCACCAUGCCCAACCACAGCCUAAUUUACUUCAGCCUUCUGUUAUCUUGGAGAUGCACAUUGUCAAUACUGCCUUGAGGCAUUUACUUACAUGGAAGUUUUGCACAGGUUUUACAUAGGUUCCAUGUGUAUGAGGAAAAGAAGUGUGCUGGACCUGAUUUUAAGUCCUAUAGAGUUCUACAAAAACAAAACCAAGCAAAAAAACCUAUCAACCACAUAUAGCAAAAUACUAAAGAUAACAGGUUGCUUUACAAAUACAUGCAAAUUAAGUUCUUAAUGUGUCAAAUAUACAGCUUGCAGCAUGUGCUAGCAAGAUCUGGGGCAAGCUUCAAUAGAUAUGCAUACAUCACAUCAUCACAUCAAUUACUGUGCUGUUAAAUGCUUUGAAGCUGAAGUUAUCCAAUAUACCUCUUGAAGUAUAAGCCCUAGUUGCUAAAAAAAACCUCCUCCCAACUCACAGUACGAUAAGACCUGCAUUUGUUCUUAACAUAGACUGUGGUGUUCAGCUUAUAAAAAGUUUCACAAAACAGGUCAGCUAGCUGAGUAUGCCCAAGAUCUGAGCAGUAUGUGCGGGAAGGUAUGCUAAAGCUAAGCUAAGUAUAAUAAAAAAAGCUCUCAAAGUA
Long non-coding RNA from Tympanuchus pallidicinctus (lesser prairie-chicken), 4013 nucleotides. RefSeq lists it as uncharacterized. Lineage: Eukaryota; Metazoa; Chordata; Aves; Galliformes; Phasianidae. The record is from RefSeq and is a predicted model, not a curated record. The transcript has 2 exons.